RNAcentral lists this ribosomal RNA (531 nucleotides) under uncultured bacterium. RNAcentral describes it as "bacterial SSU rRNA". It matches the Rfam family "Bacterial small subunit ribosomal RNA", at positions 365 to 908 of the family's 1533-position model. The record is from RNAcentral.
UCGGCAAUGGGGGCAACCCUGACCGAGCGAUGCCGCGUGAGCGAUGAAGGCCUUCGGGUUGUAAAGCUCGAAAGUGGGGAGAAACGCCGAAAGGCUUGAUCUAUCCACAGUAAGCUCGGGCUAAGUUCGUGCCAGCAGCCGCGGUAAGACGAACCGAGCGAACGUUGUUCGGAAUCACUGGGCUUAAAGGGCGCGUAGGCGGGCUGUCAAGUUUGGGGUGAAAUCCCGCGGCUCAACCGUGGAACUGCCUCAAAUACUGACGGUCUCGAGGGAGAUAGGGGCGAGCGGAACUAAUGGUGGAGCGGUGAAAUGCGUUGAUAUCAUUAGGAACUCCGGUGGCGAAGGCGGCUCGCUGGAUCUCUUCUGACGCUGAGGCGCGAAAGCUAGGGGAGCAAACGGGAUUAGAUACCCCGGUAGUCCUAGCCCUAAACUAUGGGUACUAGAUUGUGGACUUUCAUGGGUUCACAGUCGAAGCAAAAGUGUUAAGUACCCCGCCUGGGGAGUAUGGUCGCAAGGCUGAAACUCAAAGGA